GUACACGCUGUGACUAGCAUAUCAAUAAGCGGAGGAAAAGAAACUAACAAGGAUUCCCCUAGUAACGGCGAGUGAAGCGGGAAGAGCUCAAAUUUGAAAUCUUAAAGGGUUUCCCUUUACGAAUUGUAGUUUAAAGAAGUGUUUUCUGUUGAGGUUUUGGUAAAAGUUCUUUGGAAUAGGACAUCAUAGAGGGUGAGAAUCCCGUAUUUGACCCUUUACUUUCAACUUUGUGAUACACUUUCAAAGAGUCGGAUUGUUUGGGAAUGCAGUCCAAAAUGGGUGGUAAAUUUCAUCUAAAGCUAAAUAUUGGCGAGAGACCGAUAGCGAACAAGUACCGUGAGGGAAAGAUGAAAAGAACUUUGAAAAGAGAGUUAAACAGUACGUGAAAUUGUCAAAAGGGAAGCGUUUGACACCAGUGUUGUUUUUCUGAAAAUCAAUUAAAGAACUGUUUAUGCUAAGUUGUUUAGACUUUAUCAGCUAACUGUUUAGUUUUGAGCUUUUCUUUAAUGCACUUUUCAGUUAACAAGUCAACAGUCAACUUUCUUUUGCUGUAAAAAAGCUUGAGGAAGGUGGCUUGAGAUUCGUCUUAAGUGUUUAUAGCCUCUUGCCUAUGCAGUCGGAGAGAUUGAGGUCUGCAGCGUAGAUCCUUCGGGGCUAAAUGCAUCUGUGCUAAGUUAUAGCAUUUUAUAGACAACUUGUUGACUAUGAUUUGUCUUGUAGCUUACUCGCUUAUGUUAUUUUACCUACGCUUAGGAUGUUGAAGAUGUAGCACAUCAU
This 777-nucleotide ribosomal RNA is filed under the name uncultured Neocallimastigales. RNAcentral's name for it is "partial large subunit ribosomal RNA". It matches the Rfam family "Eukaryotic large subunit ribosomal RNA", at positions 22 to 620 of the family's 3401-position model. The record is from RNAcentral. Lineage: Eukaryota; Fungi; Neocallimastigomycota; Neocallimastigomycetes; Neocallimastigales.